CAGACAGAUGCUGCAGGUCAGCUCGUCCUCCAGGCUCAUGAGGGAAAAUUCGGACUCGUCGGCUUCGGCCAUCGUGAAACCAGCAGCUGCCGCUGCAGAGACGGAGAAAACGAAACUUAAAGGCGGCGCCGGAAAGAAACGAAAAUAAACCUACAUCCAGGCAGUGUAACUGUGAGACUCGUUACCUCAUCCUCUUGAGUGAUGAGGAUUUGUCCGUCUCCCAGGAUGCAGUUGGUGAUGUCCCACAAGGGGACCUCCUGCGGUGGGACCCAGUUUUGCCUUGUCAAUUCACCGGACGCAGCAUGUGCCGGUUCAACCUCCUUCAAGUCUGCAAGAGGACAUUGACUUCACUCACACACACAGUCGACAGGGAAAGAGGUGUCUGCGAUCGACACCAUCAUUUCGGUCACGCGGUGACCCCCGUUUGUUUUUCAGUUCUGAUGAUGACGGCCUGAUGAGACGACACUUAUCUCACUCACCGUGAGGACACUCCCAUUUACUGAUGCUAUCUGUUUCUUCAUGACACACCAAGAGAAACGGAUAUCCUGUUGUUUCUCAGUAGCUUUGCUCAACUUCCUUCUUAAUUUGCAUUGUCUCUGUGUUUACUUUUAAAAACCAUGUUUUACGGAUGCAGGCUUUUUAAUAAAAAAUGCAGAAAAUGAAGAUGCUGAUAAAAGCACUGAAUAAAUGAAGGGCAGUUGAGAAACAAUGGUUUUGUAGAAUCACUAUAAUGAUUAAAUAACACUCCACUAUACUGCAUUCACCCAAACUACUCGUUGAAAGUAUCCUCUUGAAAAUGACUGGACUGCUUGAUGGUACCUUUUUCUCUGCGAAAUGUGUUGUCAGCUGGUGUUUUUUAAGUGUAACCACCUUCAUAAUCUGUUCUUGGUUUUGUUUGAUUUGGAAUAGAUGAACCACACUGUUUUUGUUUUAAAAUUCAAACACCUUCUGCAGGAUCAGUUCCAGUUUUUAUUGCCGUUAUUUGAAGCCAAAGAGAUUUUCUGACCAAACGCAGUGCAGCGUAAAGUGUGCCAUCUUGUGUUGUAAGUUCAUUCUGCCGCAUCGCUCUGCAGGUCUCUACCCUGCUGUGUGCAGUCGGAUUUUUGUGCAUUUUGGAUGCACAAAAAUCCAAAAUCUGGUUGUUCCUUACUAAUCACUUUCAUCUGACCACACGCAAGCUCUUGUUUGAAAUGUUUAUCAGACGUCAUGUGACUGUUGUCAUGUCACUUUUUCCUGCUUCUCUCUUCUCAUCGCUGAACAUGAUGCAAGGACAUCGAGUUAAAAGCUUGGCUUGUCAAUCGAGAAGCAGCUUUUGGAUUGCCGCUCUCCCAGCAGCCACAUGUGCAAUUUGGAGGUGUGUGUAGUUCUCUCUGGCAUGUGGCCAUUGUCAUGGGGAGCUCAACACUUACAGAUGCUCAUGUCAAAUGGGCUACAUCAUAGUGUAAUGUUUUAUUUUAUCUUUUGUUCAUUGUGUUUUUGUUGUGUUUUAUAUGAUCCUUUUGUUCCAGCUAGAAUAGUUAGACAAUAGUUAAAGUUAAUUAGUCUAUUUAGUUUAGCAGCUCAAUGUGUGUUUUAAUAGGCUGUGGCCUUGAACUCAGCAUUACAUUUCCUUCAAAAGCCGCUGCUCCUCUCUACCAAACCUGGAACCUAUAAUGCUGCAAGCAGUAUAAUUAACGCCCACGAUCCAAACACAGAUGUCUGUUGCCUCUCUAGAGCCUUGCAGAGACCAGCCCUAUUCUGGCUAAUUUGUAUUAUUAAAGUGCCGAGUCAGUCCAGUGUAAAGAGGAGCUAAUAGCAGUCGGAAAUAAGAAAUACAUCAAGCACAGACUUUUUCAAUUUGAAACAUUAAUUUAUUUUGAAAUAAGAGCGUAUGGCAUUCACAUUAAACUGUGAAUGUUUGAUGUUUAAAAUUAAACAUCUGCUGCUUAUUACAGGA
This is a long non-coding RNA of Poeciliopsis prolifica (blackstripe livebearer), 1936 nucleotides long. RefSeq lists it as uncharacterized. The transcript is spliced from 2 exons. NCBI's taxonomy places the organism in Eukaryota, Metazoa, Chordata, Actinopteri, Cyprinodontiformes, Poeciliidae. The record is from RefSeq and is a predicted model, not a curated record.